UGUUGCUUGCAAGGGCGUAUGGUGGAUGCCUUGGCAGACAGGACCGAUGAAGGACGUUUGAGGCUGCGAUAUGCCUCGGGGAGCCGCCAACAGGGCUUUGAUCCGAGGAUUUCCGAAUGGGGGAACCCACCGACCGUCAUGGGUCGGUACCGGCUUCGGCCGGGGGGUACGCAGGGAAGUGAAACAUCUCAGUACCUGCAGGAAAGGAUAUUCCGUGAGUAGUGGCGAGCGAAAGCGGAUGAUGGCCAAACCUUGCGCGUGUGAUACCCGUCGGGGGUUGCGCGCGGGGUGUUGCGGGAUCGCGUGCGCCGGCUCCGACGGGCCGGCCGGCAGUUGCAGAAAACCAUGUGUCAGGGGAACCGGGUUGAAUACCGGGCCGCAGAGGGUGAGGGCCCCGUACCUGAACGCGCAUGGUCUGCCGAUCGCGUCUCCCAAGUAGCACGGGUCCCGUGGAACCCCGUGCGAAUCCGCCCAGACCGUUGGGUAAGCCUGAAUAUUCCUGUCUGACCGAUAGCGAACGAGUACCGUGAGGGAAAGGUGAAAAGUACCCCGGGAGGGGAGUGAAACAGUCUCUGAAACCGUGCGCCUACAAUCCGUCGGAGCCCUUUUGUGGGGUGACGGCGUGCCUAUCGAAAAAUGAGUCUGCGAGUCAGUGGCAUGUGGCGAGCAUAACCCGUGUGGGGUAUGCGUAGCGAAGGCGAGUCUUAAAAGGCGUUUGAGUCGCGUGUCCUGGACCCGAAGCGGGAUGAUCUAGCCCUGAGCAGGUUGAAGCGCGGGUAAGACCGCGUGGAGGACCGAACCCACCUGGGUUGAAAACCGGGGGGAUGACUUGGGGCUAGGGGUGAAAGGCCAAUCAAAUUCCGUGAUAGCUGGUUCUCUCCGAAAUGCAUUUGGGUGCAGCGUCGGGUCAUUACGUCCCGGGGGUAGAGCUACUGGAUGCUUGCGGGCCCGUAUCGGGUACCAACAGCAACCAAACUCCGAAUACCGGUGACGCGUAUCCCGGCAGUGAGUCGGCGGGGGAUAAGCUUCGUCGUCGAAAGGGAAACAGCCCAGACCGUCGUCUAAGGUCCCGAAGCGUGUGCUAAGUGGGAAAGGAUGUGGAGUCGCAUAGACAGCCAGGAGGUUGGCUCAGAAGCAGCCACCCUUGAAAGAGUGCGUAACAGCUCACUGGUCUAGUGGUUCCGCGCCGACAAUGUAGCGGGGCUCAAGCACACCACCGAAGACGCGGCAGUAUUUUGUACUGGGUAGGAGAGCGUCCCAUGAGGGGCGAAGCGGCCGUGUGAACGCGCCGUGGACUUCAUGGGAGUGAGAAUGCAGACAUGAG
Molecule: ribosomal RNA, 1324 nt
Filed under: Escherichia coli
Lineage: Bacteria; Pseudomonadati; Pseudomonadota; Gammaproteobacteria; Enterobacterales; Enterobacteriaceae
Description: partial 23S ribosomal RNA
Rfam family: Bacterial large subunit ribosomal RNA
Source: RNAcentral